AGUGAACGCUGGCGGUAGGCCUAACACAUGCAAGUCGAACGGCAGCACAGUAAGAGCUUGCUCUUACGGGUGGCGAGUGGCGGACGGGUGAGGAAUACAUCGGAAUCUACUUUUUCGUGGGGGAUAACGUAGGGAAACUUACGCUAAUACCGCAUACGACCUACGGGUGAGAGCAGGGGAUCUUCGGACCUUGCGCGAUUGAAUGAGCCGAUGUCGGAUUAGCUAGUUGGCGGGGUAAAGGCCCACCAAGGCGACGAUCCGUAGCUGGUCUGAGAGGAUGAUCAGCCACACUGGAACUGAGACACGGUCCAGACUCCUACGGGAGGCAGCAGUGGGGAAUAUUGGACAAUGGGCGCAAGCCUGAUCCAGCCAUACCGCGUGGGUGAAGAAGGCCUUCGGGUUGUAAAGCCCUUUUGUUGGGAAGAAAAGCAGCAGGUUAAUACCCCGCUGUUCUGACGGUACCCAAAGAAUAAGCACCGGCUAACUUCGUG
RNAcentral lists this ribosomal RNA (491 nucleotides) under uncultured bacterium. RNAcentral's name for it is "partial 16S ribosomal RNA". It matches the Rfam family "Bacterial small subunit ribosomal RNA", at positions 29 to 507 of the family's 1533-position model. The record is from RNAcentral.